This 683-nucleotide long non-coding RNA is filed under the name Canis lupus familiaris (dog). RNAcentral's name for it is "lncRNA (ENSCAFG00000059006.1)". The record is from RNAcentral. Lineage: Eukaryota; Metazoa; Chordata; Mammalia; Carnivora; Canidae.
UAAAAUAUGGAUAUUCUGACUGUGAGCCAUAAUUAGGCAUAACUCUGGCUGAACUAUAAUUCUGUCCUAGGUGUCUACAGGAUGUAUGCCUGGAAUCAAAAGGAGAAAUCUUAUGAUAGAAAGUGAACGUUCUCAUUUCCAGGAAGAUCAGGAAAAGGAAUAAAGGGAAAAUCUCAACUCAUUUAGAAGACAGAAGGUUCUUUCCAGAAAAAAUAAAUUGCACCUUUAGUGCAUAUUUCAUUUCCUUGAUAUGAAUUUCUGUGUUCAACCCGGUUAGGAUGUGUUUGACUUCUCUCUCUUGAUUUAUGUCACUUUCUUUUUCCUUUUCUGCACAGGCCUCUUGCCUUCCAGCCUUUCCCAUUCAUUUGAGGAUAUGAAGGUUUGAUGCAGGUGAAUUGGUCUCCCUGAAGACAAAGAGUUUGACAUAGAUUGCAGAAACUUUCCUAUAAAGUUGUAUAUCUGAUGAAGAGUUGUUAAAAGGAAUAGCUGCCUAAAGCAUCUCAUUUCACAUUACCCGGAAAGGGAGUUUUUGGCAGAAACCAUCAUUCUGAAUAGGUGAAAAUACAUUGCCCAGCACAUCUACCAAUGACACAUUAUAGACAUUACUCCCAUGAAUAAUUGAAAUUAUUUCCCACAGAGUUCACUUUAUUAGUAUUCAUUUGAGCAACACGAUAAUAAAUUCG